Molecule: ribosomal RNA, 402 nt
Filed under: Mallomonas annulata
Lineage: Eukaryota; Synurophyceae; Synurales; Mallomonadaceae
Description: partial small subunit ribosomal RNA
Rfam family: Eukaryotic small subunit ribosomal RNA
Source: RNAcentral
GCUUGUCUCAAAGAUUAAGCCAUGCAUGUCUAAGUAUAAAUAAUUCUAUACUGUGAAACUGCGAAUGGCUCAUUAUAUCAGUUAUAGUUUAUUUGAUAGUCAAUCACUACUUGGAUAACCGUAGUAACUCUAGAGCUAAUACAUGCGUCAAGUCCCGACUAGCGCAAGCUGGAAAGGAUGUAUUUAUUAGAUGGAAACCAAUGCGGGGCAACCCGGUAUAUGGUGAUUCAUAAUAACUUUCGGAUCGAUCUUCGGAUCGAUGCAUCAUUCAAGUUUCUGCCCUAUCAGCUUUGGAUGGUAGGGUAUUGGCCUACCAUGGCUUUAACGGGUAACGGAGAAUUAGGGUUCGAUUCCGGAGAGGGAGCCUGAGAAAUGGCUACCACAUCCAAGGAAGGCAGCAGG